UAGGUGUCAUGUUGAUGGAGGCAUUACU
Molecule: non-coding RNA, 28 nt
Filed under: Mus musculus (house mouse)
Lineage: Eukaryota; Metazoa; Chordata; Mammalia; Rodentia; Muridae
Source: RNAcentral